AAUCUGCCCUGCACUCUGGGACAAGCCCUGGAAACGGGGUCUAAUACCGGAUACUGACCCGCUUGGGCAUCCAAGCGGUUCGAAAGCUCCGGCGGUGCAGGAUGAGCCCGCGGCCUAUCAGCUUGUUGGUGAGGUAAUGGCUCACCAAGGCGACGACGGGUAGCCGGCCUGAGAGGGCGACCGGCCACACUGGGACUGAGACACGGCCCAGACUCCUACGGGAGGCAGCAGUGGGGAAUAUUGCACAAUGGGCGAAAGCCUGAUGCAGCGACGCCGCGUGAGGGAUGACGGCCUUCGGGUUGUAAACCUCUUUCAGCAGGGAAGAAGCGAAAGUGACGGUACCUGCAGAAGAAGCGCCGGCUAACUACGUGCCAGCAGCCGCGGUAAUACGUAGGGCGCGAGCGUUGUCCGGAAUUAUUGGGCGUAAAGAGCUCGUAGGCGGCUUGUCACGUCGGUUGUGAAAGCCCGGGGCUUAACCCCGGGUCUGCAGUCGAUACGGGCAGGCUAGAGUUCGGUAGGGGAGAUCGGAAUUCCUGGUGUAGCGGUGAAAUGCGCAGAUAUCAGGAGGAACACCGGUGGCGAAGGCGGAUCUCUGGGCCGAUACUGACGCUGAGGAGCGAAAGCGUGGGGAGCGAACAGGAUUAGAUACCCUGGUAGUCCACGCCGUAAACGGUGGGCACUAGGUGUGGG
Molecule: ribosomal RNA, 690 nt
Filed under: Streptomyces sp. AC117
Lineage: Bacteria; Bacillati; Actinomycetota; Actinomycetes; Kitasatosporales; Streptomycetaceae
Description: bacterial SSU rRNA
Rfam family: Bacterial small subunit ribosomal RNA
Source: RNAcentral